RNAcentral lists this unclassified non-coding RNA (213 nucleotides) under Monochaetia kansensis. Its description in RNAcentral is "partial internal transcribed spacer region". The stretch from base 1 to 46 matches the Rfam family "Eukaryotic small subunit ribosomal RNA", at positions 1786 to 1831 of the family's 1831-position model. The record is from RNAcentral. RNAcentral also lists the same sequence under 1 other name. Lineage: Eukaryota; Fungi; Ascomycota; Sordariomycetes; Amphisphaeriales; Sporocadaceae.
AAGUCGUAACAAGGUCUCCGUUGGUGAACCAGCGGAGGGAUCAUUACAGAGUUAUCUAACUCCCAAACCAUUGUGAACUUACCAUAUGUUGCCUCGGCAGAACCUACCCUGUAGCGGGCUGCCGGCGGACCUCUAAACUCUUGUUAUACUAUUGUAAUCUGAGCGUCUUAUUUUAAUAAGUCAAAACUUUCAACAACGGAUCUCUUGGUUCUG